RNAcentral lists this long non-coding RNA (380 nucleotides) under Physcomitrium patens. RNAcentral describes it as "long non-coding RNA (PPAT_LNC010001)". Lineage: Eukaryota; Viridiplantae; Streptophyta; Bryopsida; Funariales; Funariaceae. The record is from RNAcentral.
UCUCCAACCAUUAACUUUGACUCAAAAUUAACAUGUAGCUUGAUCUUUAAGUCCUUCAAUACCAUGCCAAAUUUUAGCUUGAUCCAAUUAGUAGAUAUCUAGAUAUCAUAGAAAUCCUACUCAACCUCAAAUUGCCAACUUCUAAAACCCUCUUGUACUAAAAACUAGAUAUCUCUAAACCAUGCCAUUAGAUUAUCACAAAAUUUUAUAUACACUUAGCACAUCCAAUAAUCCAAAUAAUAUCAAAUUUUGCAUUGUAGAUACUACACCAAUUGCACGAACUAGCCAAAAUUGCUAGUCUUAAUUAUAUUAUAUAAAAUCCAAAUCACCAAUAUAAACCCUAACUUUAAAUAAUGAUUGCUAAGUCAUCAAAAAUCUUC